This 336-nucleotide ribosomal RNA is filed under the name Klebsiella quasipneumoniae. Its description in RNAcentral is "bacterial LSU rRNA". It matches the Rfam family "Bacterial large subunit ribosomal RNA", at positions 2277 to 2612 of the family's 2925-position model. Lineage: Bacteria; Pseudomonadati; Pseudomonadota; Gammaproteobacteria; Enterobacterales; Enterobacteriaceae. The record is from RNAcentral.
GGGCGGUCUCCUCCCAAAGCGUAACGGAGGAGCACGAAGGUUAGCUAAUCCUGGUCGGACAUCAGGAGGUUAGUGCAAUGGCAUAAGCUAGCUUGACUGCGAGCGUGACGGCGCGAGCAGGUGCGAAAGCAGGUCAUAGUGAUCCGGUGGUUCUGAAUGGAAGGGCCAUCGCUCAACGGAUAAAAGGUACUCCGGGGAUAACAGGCUGAUACCGCCCAAGAGUUCAUAUCGACGGCGGUGUUUGGCACCUCGAUGUCGGCUCAUCACAUCCUGGGGCUGAAGUAGGUCCCAAGGGUAUGGCUGUUCGCCAUUUAAAGUGGUACGCGAGCUGGGUUU